GGAAGCUGUGCCUGAGUUCCAAGGACUACUUUGAUAGAGUACACCACAGGGGUUAAAAUCCCCUCUCUUCCU
This 72-nucleotide transfer RNA is filed under the name Strophurus mcmillani (short-tailed striped gecko). RNAcentral's name for it is "tRNA-Ile". Lineage: Eukaryota; Metazoa; Chordata; Lepidosauria; Squamata; Diplodactylidae. The record is from RNAcentral.